UUCUUGAGACGGCUCCCUAGACAGAUUCUGGAGGACGGGUCAUCCGAAAGGGAAAGGACGCUUGUCUUUUUCCGUUCCUCAGAAGGAAACUUGACUUCCCUUUCCGAAGGGGAGGCAAAGGGGAAAGGAACCAUCUGACUCCCCUUUCUCUCAAUCAACCGAGAUUCCGUGUGGCAUGGCGAAGAACAACGGAAUCCUUUCUGGCGUUUUCUUGAACUCUUUGGAAAAGGAGUGCCAUAGAAGGUGAAAGCCCUGUAGAGGGAGGGCCAGAAAGAAAGACCAGAACAAGCUGAGGGUUGGCCUUGGCUGGAAACGCAAGCCCCACCUUGCGGGUCGAGAGGACAGAAUCUGAUCGAAAGUGCACAAGUACUGUGAAGGAACGGGAUGAAAAACCCUUUCGUUCCACGAAAGGAUGAAAAAGGAAAAUCUCCAUGUCAAGGCUUUGAGAGAGCAUGGCUCUCUGGGAGUCCCUUUUGCAUCAUGAGCCGAUGAGUAGUCCCUUUGCCCGUAGAGUGCGAUGGACAACCAGAACGCAGGGUAAAGGGGCUGACCCGAAAUCUGGUGAGCUAGCCUCCUCCAGGGGAACGAAGCCCGAACCGGUGCCUGUGGCAAUAGGCUCGGAGGAGGGGGGGCUAGAGGUGAAAUGCCAAUCGAACCAGGAGAUCGCUGGUUCUCGAAGAAACCUGUUUUGGCAGGGGGCUCGACCUAGGCUCUAUGGGGGGUAAGAGAGGCCUGAGUUCAGGAAGCUUUCUGAAGUCGCAUAGAGAGAUCGAGCACUCAGACUGAGGGCGUGAAGGUUCUCCAGUCGAAAGGGAAAAAGCCCAGCAACUCGGGAAAGGUCUUCAAGGAGAAUUGAUCGGAAAAAAACUUCCUUCUCGGCCUCCUCUUUAGGUAGGCUUAGAAGCAGCCAUCUUGAUCCGAAAGCGUAACUGCUCGCGAGGGGGAUCCGAGGGGAGGUUGAUCCAUAAACGAGGCUAAAUUCUCCACCUAGCCCAGUUCUUUUCUGGUCCACCAUGUGGAUGAGCGGAAAAGGGUAUUCGAGCGUAGAGUAACUUGAAGCCGUUCCGGAAGGAGCGGCAAGAGAUCUCUAGUGAUUCUGUCGGCACGAGUAGCGCAGACUGUCUUGAAGAAUGGACAGGGCCGAAUCCUCAAAGGUUCCUUCGCUAGGGUGUUCCGCGAAGGGUUCGGGGUCUCUCAAAGGCGUGCCGAAAGGCCAAUCUUGAGGGGGCUUCCAAGAUCUCUUGUCCAUGGACCAUUGCUUUGCGGCCUUCGGGAAAGCCGAAGAGGAAGGGUCCUGGGCCAGGAAAAGAGAGGAAGAAAAACCCCACUGAGAACCGACACAGGUGAGGAGGUUGAAGACAACUAAGGCUUGGGAAGACUCGAACAGAAGGAACUCGGCAAAUUGCCGCGGUAUCUUCGGUAGAACGCGGCCCCAUCAUAGGGGGACACCACAGAGGAGAGGGCGACUGUUUACCAAAAACAUAGGUCUCUGCCACCGCGAAAGCGUACGUAUAGAGACCGAGUCCUGCCCGGUGCCGGUUCUGUACAGGGACGGCUCUAUGUUGGGUCGGAACUCGAAGACUGGUUCACGGCGGCUGUAUACCUGACGGUCCUAAGGUAGCGAAAUUCCUAGACGCUUAAUUGGCGUCCCGCAUGAAAGGAUUCACGAUCCUCUCGCUGUCUCCUGUUCGAAGCCCGCGAAACUCCUUUCCCCGUGCAGAAGCGGGGAUGUUCCAGUUAGACGAGAAGACCCUAGUAGCUUGACUGGCCUGGGCCUUGGCUUUGAUUGCGCCCUGCUGUAGAAGAGGUGGGAGAGCUUGCUCGAUCAUGAAAAACCACCGUAGGGAGGAAUGAAAGCUUCCUGAAUCGUUCAGGAAAGAGGUCUGGAGACAGUUUGGUUGGGGCGACCGCCUCCCAAACAGUAACGGAGGCGUACGAUGGUUUGGCAAGAAAGGGGUUCCGUCCUUUCGGUUCCGGGAUCUCGGCAUCCAAGCUUGAUUGGCCAGAGAGACUCCUCUGCCAAGGGCGAAAGCCUGUAGAACUGACCCAGAGCGGCGGCGUGGCACGCGCUCUGAUCCACGGAUCAAAGUUACACUAGGGAUAACAGGCUAAUCAAGCUCUAGAGAAGCUAUCGACGGCUUGGUUUGGCACCUCGAUGUCGGCUCUUCGCUUCCUGGGGCUGAAUCCGGUCCCAAGGGUUGGACUGUUCGUCCAGUAAGGCGGAACGUGAGCUGGGUUCAAUACGACGUGAGUCAGUAUGGUUUCUAUCUGCUGGAACGGCAUCUUCUUCUCUUUCUCUUUCUUUUGCCUUUGGGGUUCCCAGGGGCAACC
Molecule: ribosomal RNA, 2331 nt
Filed under: Marsupiomonas sp. NIES 1824
Lineage: Eukaryota; Viridiplantae; Chlorophyta; Pedinophyceae; Marsupiomonadales; Marsupiomonadaceae
Description: large subunit ribosomal RNA
Rfam family: Bacterial large subunit ribosomal RNA
Source: RNAcentral